GACGAACGCUGGCGGCGUGCUUAACACAUGCAAGUCGAACGUGAUUUUUGUGGAAAUUCUUUCGGGAAUGGAAAUGAAAUGAAAGUGGCGAACGGGUGAGUAACACGUGAGCAACCUACCUUACACAGGGGAUAGCCGUUGGAAACGACGAUUAAUACCGCAUGAGACCACAGCAUCGCAUGAUAUAGGGGUCAAAGAUUUAUCGGUGUUAGAAGGGCUCGCGUCUGAUUAGCUAGUUGGAAGGGUAAAGGCCUACCAAGGCGACGAUCAGUAGCCGGUCUGAGAGGAUGAACGGCCACAUUGGAACUGAGACACGGUCCAAACUCCUACGGGAGGCAGCAGUGGGGAAUAUUGCACAAUGGGGGGAACCCUGAUGCAGCGACGCCGCGUGAGCGAAGAAGGUUUUCGAAUCGUAAAGCUCUGUCCUAUGAGAAGAUAAUGACGGUAUCAUAGGAGGAAGCCCCGGCUAAAUACGUG
This 477-nucleotide ribosomal RNA is filed under the name uncultured bacterium. Its description in RNAcentral is "partial 16S ribosomal RNA". It matches the Rfam family "Bacterial small subunit ribosomal RNA", at positions 28 to 507 of the family's 1533-position model. The record is from RNAcentral.